AAGUCGUAACAAGGUUUCCGUAGGUGAACCUGCGGAAGGAUCAUUACCAAAUUAUUAAUGUGUAGUGGAAUUUGUAGGAGUCUUGUAACCAAGCUCCUAUGAAAUGGGGUAGGAAACGGUCACGUUUCCUAUUCCUAAGAAAAACAACAACUACGAUUCAAUCACAAAUACAUACAACUUUUAACAAUGGAUCUCUAGGCUCUU
Molecule: unclassified non-coding RNA, 204 nt
Filed under: fungal sp.
Lineage: Eukaryota; Fungi
Description: partial internal transcribed spacer region
Rfam family: Eukaryotic small subunit ribosomal RNA (bases 1-46)
Source: RNAcentral